CCUACGGGGGGCAGCAGUGAGGAAUAUUGGUCAAUGGACGAGAGUCUGAACCAGCCAAGUAGCGUGAAGGAUGACUGCCCUAUGGGUUGUAAACUUCUUUUAUAUGGGAAUAAAACGUUCCACGUGUGGGAUUUUGUAUGUAACAUAUGAAUAAGGAUCGGCUAACUCCGUGCCAGCAGCCGCGGUAAUACGGAGGAUCCGAGCGUUAUCCGGAUUUAUUGGGGUUAAAGGGAGCGUAGGUGGAUUGUUAAGUCAGUUGUGAAAGUUUGCGGCUCAACCGUAAAAUUGCAGUUGAAACUGGCAGUCUUGAGUACAGUAGAGGUGGGCGGAAUUCGUGGUGUAGCGGUGAAAUGCUUAGAUAUCACGAAGAACUCCGAUUGCGAAGGCAGUUCACUGGACUGCAACUGACACUGAGGCUCGAAAGUGUGGGUAUCAAACAGGAUUAGAUACCCCAGUAGUC
This 460-nucleotide ribosomal RNA is filed under the name uncultured bacterium. RNAcentral describes it as "partial 16S ribosomal RNA". It matches the Rfam family "Bacterial small subunit ribosomal RNA", at positions 338 to 795 of the family's 1533-position model. The record is from RNAcentral.